Molecule: ribosomal RNA, 600 nt
Filed under: uncultured bacterium
Lineage: Bacteria
Description: bacterial SSU rRNA
Rfam family: Bacterial small subunit ribosomal RNA
Source: RNAcentral
UAAAGAAUUUCGGUUAUCGAUGGGGAUGCGUUCCAUUAGUUAGUUGGCGGGGUAACGGCCCACCAAGACGACGAUGGAUAGGGGUUCUGAGAGGAAGGUCCCCCACAUUGGAACUGAGACACGGUCCAAACUCCUACGGGAGGCAGCAGUGAGGAAUAUUGGUCAAUGGACGAGAGUCUGAACCAGCCAAGUAGCGUGAAGGAUGACUGCCCUAUGGGUUGUAAACUUCUUUUAUAUGGGAAUAAAACAGGGUAUGCAUACCCUCUUGUAUGUACCAUAUGAAUAAGGAUCGGCUAACUCCGUGCCAGCAGCCGCGGUAAUACGGAGGAUCCGAGCGUUAUCCGGAUUUAUUGGGUUUAAAGGGAGCGUAGGUGGAUUGUUAAGUCAGUUGUGAAAGUUUGCGGCUCAACCGUAAAAUUGCAGUUGAAACUGGCAGUCUUGAGUACAGUAGAGGUGGGCGGAAUUCGUGGUGUAGCGGUGAAAUGCUUAGAUAUCACGAAGAACUCCGAUUGCGAAGGCAGCUCACUGGACUGCAACUGACACUGAUGCUCGAAAGUGUGGGUAUCAAACAGGAUUAGAUACCCUGGUAGUCCACACAGU